This 253-nucleotide ribosomal RNA is filed under the name uncultured bacterium. RNAcentral describes it as "partial 16S ribosomal RNA". It matches the Rfam family "Bacterial small subunit ribosomal RNA", at positions 524 to 776 of the family's 1533-position model. The record is from RNAcentral.
UACGGGGGGGGCAAGCGUUGUUCGGAAUUACUGGGCGUAAAGGGCUCGUAGGCGGCCAACUAAGUCAGACGUGAAAUCCCCAGGCUCAACCUGGGAACUGCGUCUGAUACUGGAUGGCUUGAAUCCGGGAGAGGGAUGCAGAAUUCCAGGUGUAGCGGUGAAAUGCGCAGAUAUCAGGAAGAACACCCGUGGCUAAGGCGGCUCUCUAGUACGGUACUGACGCUGAGACGCGAAAGCGUGGGGAGCGAACAGG